ACAAGUUUGAAUAUAUCUAUACCAUAUAAUAAUGUGAUUGACUGAGUUGAUGUCACGAGUAAACUCAACGCCAAUUUAAUCUUGGAAAUUACUAAAAACCAUUUAUAAAAAAAGUAAUUAAAUGUUAAUACUUUUACUAUUUUUAUAUGAAAUGUUUAAAUAAAACAACUAAAAAGAUCAAAUGUUGAGGGAUUAAACCCAAACUUGAUGAGGAUUUAUUCAUAA
RNAcentral lists this long non-coding RNA (225 nucleotides) under Gossypium barbadense (sea-island cotton). RNAcentral describes it as "long non-coding RNA (GBAR_LNC011472)". The record is from RNAcentral. Lineage: Eukaryota; Viridiplantae; Streptophyta; Magnoliopsida; Malvales; Malvaceae.